UACGGAAGGCAGCAGUGGGGAAUAUUGCACAAUGGGCGAAAGCCUGAUGCAGCUAUGCCGCGUGUAUGAAGAAGGCCUUAGGGUUGUAAAGUACUUUCAUCGGGGAGGAAAAACAAAACUAAUAAUUUUAUUUCUUGACGUUACCCGAAAAAGAAGCACCGGCUAACUCCGUGCCAGCAGCCGCGGUAAUACGGAGGGUGCUAGCGUUAAUCAGAAUUACUGGGCGUAAAGAGCACGUAGGUGGUUUUUUUAAGUCAGAUGUGAAAUCCCUGGGCUUAACCUGGAACUGCAUUUUGAAACUGAAAUACUAGAGUAUCGUAGAGGGAGGUAGAAUUCUAGGUGUAGCGGUGAAAUGCGUAGAUAUCUGGAGGAAUACCUGUGGCGAAAGCGGCCUCCUAAACGAAUACUGACACUGAGGUGCGAAAGCGUGGGGAGCAAGCAGGGAUUAGAUACC
This 454-nucleotide ribosomal RNA is filed under the name uncultured bacterium. RNAcentral's name for it is "bacterial SSU rRNA". It matches the Rfam family "Bacterial small subunit ribosomal RNA", at positions 340 to 786 of the family's 1533-position model. The record is from RNAcentral.